AUACGGAGGGCGCGAGCGUUAUCCGGAUUCAUUGGGUUUAAAGGGUGCGCAGGCGGCCGUGCAAGUCAGCGGUGAAAGCCCGGGGCUCAACCCCGGAAGUGCCGUUGAUACUGCAUGGCUGGAAUGCGGUCGAGGCGGGCGGGAAGUGGCGUGGAGCGGGGGAAUGCGUAGAUAUGUCACAGAACGCCGAUAGCGGGGGCAGCGGGCCAGGCCUGCAUUGACGCUCGGGCACGAAAGUGUGGGGAUCGAACAGUAUUAGAUACCCUGGUAGUCCACGCCGUAACCGAUGGGCGCUCGUCGUCGGCGGCAGACAGUCGGCGGCCAAGCGAAAGCGAUAAGCGCCCCACCUGGGGAGUACGGUCGCAAGGCUGAAACUCAAAUGAAUUGACGGGG
Molecule: ribosomal RNA, 393 nt
Filed under: uncultured bacterium
Lineage: Bacteria
Description: partial 16S ribosomal RNA
Rfam family: Bacterial small subunit ribosomal RNA
Source: RNAcentral